This 402-nucleotide ribosomal RNA is filed under the name bacterium. Its description in RNAcentral is "partial 16S ribosomal RNA". It matches the Rfam family "Bacterial small subunit ribosomal RNA", at positions 355 to 776 of the family's 1533-position model. The record is from RNAcentral.
UGGGGAAUUUUGCACAAUGGGGGAAACCCUGAUGCAGCGACGCCGCGUGAUUUAGAAGGCCUUCGGGUUGUAAAAAUCUUUUCUAUGGGAAGAAAAUGACAGUACCAUAGGAAUAAGGACCGGCUAAUUACGUGCCAGCAGCCGCGGUAAUACGUAAGGUCCGAGCGUUGUCCGGAAUCAUGGGGCGUAAAGGGUACGUAGGCGGGUAAGCAAGUUAGAAGUGAAAUCCUAUAGCUCAACUAUAGUAAGCUUUUAAAACUUCUCAACUUGAGGUAUGGAAGGGAAAGUGGAAUUCCUAGUGUAGCGGUGAAAUGCGCAGAUAUUAGGAGGAAUACCGGUGGCGAAGGCGACUUUCUGGCCAUAACCUGACGCUGAGAUACGAAAGCGUGGGUAGCAAACAGG